Molecule: ribosomal RNA, 462 nt
Filed under: uncultured bacterium
Lineage: Bacteria
Description: partial 16S ribosomal RNA
Rfam family: Bacterial small subunit ribosomal RNA
Source: RNAcentral
GACGAACGCUGGCGGCGUGCUUAACACAUGCAAGUCGAGCGGUAAGGCCUUUCGGGGUACACGAGCGGCGAACGGGUGAGUAACACGUGGGUGAUCUGCCCUGCACUUCGGGAUAAGCCUGGGAAACUGGGUCUAAUACCGGAUAUGACCUCCUAUCGCAUGGUGGGUGGGGGCAAGAUUUAUCGGUGCAGGAUGGGCCCGCGGCCUAUCAGCUUGUUGGUGGGGUAAUGGCCUACCAAGGCGACGACGGGUAGCCGACCUGAGAGGGUGACCGGCCACACUGGGACUGAGACACGGACCAGACUCCUACGGGAGGCAGCAGUGGGGAAUAUUGCACAAUGGGCGAAAGCCUGAUGCAGCGACGCCGCGUGAGGGAUGACGGCCUUCGGGUUGUAAACCUCUUUCAGCAGGGACGAAGCGCAAGUGACGGUACCUGCAGAAGAAGCACCGGCUAACUACGUG